This 404-nucleotide ribosomal RNA is filed under the name uncultured bacterium. RNAcentral's name for it is "bacterial SSU rRNA". It matches the Rfam family "Bacterial small subunit ribosomal RNA", at positions 362 to 775 of the family's 1533-position model. The record is from RNAcentral.
UCUUCGGCAAUGGGCGCAAGCCUGACCGAGCGACGCCGCGUGGAGGAUGAAGGCCUUCGGGUUGUAAACUCCUGUCGAGGGGGAGGAAGGGGCAACCUUGACCGAUCCCUGGAGGAAGCACGGGCUAAGUUCGUGCCAGCAGCCGCGGUAAGACGAACCGUGCGAACGUUAUUCGGAAUCACUGGGCUUAAAGCGCGUGUAGGCGGACGGGUGCGUCGGCUUCUGAAAGCCCCCGGCUCAACAGGGGAAGUGGGGCCGAAACGACCCGUCUGGAGGGACGUAGGGGGAUCUGGAACUUCCGGUGGAGCGGUGAAAUGCGUUGAGAUCGGAAGGAACGCCCGUGGCGAAAGCGAGAUCCUGGACGUUUUCUGACGAUGAGACGCGAAAGCUAGGGGAGCAAACGG